This 253-nucleotide ribosomal RNA is filed under the name uncultured bacterium. RNAcentral describes it as "partial 16S ribosomal RNA". It matches the Rfam family "Bacterial small subunit ribosomal RNA", at positions 524 to 776 of the family's 1533-position model. The record is from RNAcentral.
UACGAAGGGGGCUAGCGUUGUUCGGAAUUACUGGGCGUAAAGCGCACGUAGGCGGCUUUGUAAGUUAGAGGUGAAAGCCUGGAGCUCAACUCCAGAAUUGCCUUUAAGACUGCAUCGCUUGAAUCAUGGAGAGGCGGGUGGAAUUCCGAGUGUAGAGGUGAAAUUCGUAGAUAUUCGGAAGAACACCAGUGGCGAAGGCGGCCCGCUGGACAUGUAUUGACGCUGAGGUGCGAAAGCGUGGGGAGCAAACAGG